Molecule: ribosomal RNA, 255 nt
Filed under: uncultured bacterium
Lineage: Bacteria
Description: partial 16S ribosomal RNA
Rfam family: Bacterial small subunit ribosomal RNA
Source: RNAcentral
UACGUAGGGGGCAAGCGUUUGUCCGGAAUCAUUGGGCGUAAAGAGCGCGUAGGCGGCCCUGUAAGUCCGCUGUGAAAGUCAAGGGCUCAACCCUUGGAUGCCGGUGGAUACUGCAGGGCUAGAGUCCGGAAGAGGCGAGUGGAAUUCCCGGUGUAGUGGUGAAAUGCGUAGAUAUCGGGAGGAACACCAGUGGCGAAGGCGACUACCUGGCCUGUUCUUGACGCUGAGGCGCGAAAGCUAGGGGAGCAAACGGGG